GUAUUAGUUAAAAUAUAAUAUAAAUUUGUCAAAUUUAAGUUGGUAAAAAUUUACCAUAAAGCA
This 63-nucleotide transfer RNA is filed under the name Lophogaster typicus. RNAcentral's name for it is "tRNA-Asp". Lineage: Eukaryota; Metazoa; Arthropoda; Malacostraca; Lophogastrida; Lophogastridae. The record is from RNAcentral.